GAUGAAGAACGUAGCAAAAUGCGAUACUUGGUGUGAAUUGCAGAAUCCCGCGAACCAUCGAGUCUUUGAACGCAAGUUGCGCCCGAGGCCACUCGGCCGAGGGCACGCCUGCCUGGGCGUCACGCCAAAACACGCUCCCAACCCCCCUCAUCGGGAAUAGGGAUGCGGCAUAUGGUCCCUCGUCUCGCAAGGGGCGGUGGGCCGAAGAUCGGGCUGCCGGCGGACCGCGCCGGACACAGCGCAUGGUGGGCGUCCUCGCUUUAUCAACGCAGUGCAUCCGACGCGUAGCCGGCGUGAUGGCCUCAAAACGACCCAGCAAACGAAGCGCACGUCGCUUCGACCGCGACCCCAGGUCAGGCGGGACUACCCGCUGAGUUUAAGCAUAUCAAUAAGCGGAGGA
Molecule: unclassified non-coding RNA, 400 nt
Filed under: soil metagenome
Description: partial contains 5.8S ribosomal RNA, internal transcribed spacer 2, and large subunit ribosomal RNA
Rfam family: 5.8S ribosomal RNA (bases 1-122)
Source: RNAcentral